AGGUAAGGGAUGAAUCUGAAAAAUGUGUUUGAGAAACAGGUGGUUUCACAGACCAACGGUACUUUGAAAAGGUAAGAAGUAGAGAAAGUGACAGAUCUUAUUUUCCUGGGUUCGAAGAUGUCUGCAGAUGAUUAUUUCAGUCAUGAAAUUAAAAUGAUCUUGUUUCUUUGAAGGAAAACUAUGGCAAAUUCAGUGAAACCAAUUAAAAAAUCAAAUAAUGGGCUGAUGGCUGUUCCCAGGAUUUGCAGAGAAAAUUCAGCUAUACAAUUCCUUACUUAUGCGAGAUCAGCCUAUAGGAUCAACCAACUUCCCUGAUACAGCUGUGUGAUACUGAUGUAUUGUUCUGAAUAACCCCCUAAUGUAUCAUC
Protopterus annectens (West African lungfish) is the source of this 368-nucleotide long non-coding RNA. RefSeq lists it as uncharacterized. The transcript is spliced from 3 exons. The record is from RefSeq and is a predicted model, not a curated record. NCBI's taxonomy places the organism in Eukaryota, Metazoa, Chordata, Ceratodontiformes, Protopteridae.